This is a long non-coding RNA of Sinocyclocheilus rhinocerous, 128 nucleotides long. RefSeq lists it as uncharacterized. The record is from RefSeq and is a predicted model, not a curated record. NCBI's taxonomy places the organism in Eukaryota, Metazoa, Chordata, Actinopteri, Cypriniformes, Cyprinidae. The transcript is spliced from 3 exons.
ACCAGUUGCUUGUCACAUUCAAAUUGGUUGUCAUAGUAACGACAGUAAUUUAUGGAGAUUCAGUGCACUGAGUUCCACAAAUCUGGAUGCAUUAUUUGUAAAUUGACUGUUAAGAGAAUCAUUUUGCA